CUGAGACAGAAGAUACCAGACACAAUACUAUUCAGGGGUUGCCUGUGUCUGUACCCCGUUUCAUCUUCACUUCUGGGAACCAGGCUGAUGGAGAAGUCUUCUAGCAGAAGUACUAUGGGUCAUGAUGGCAGAAAGAAGAGCAAACUUGGUGGACCAUGUGCUGGCCCUUGAUGGGUCUACUCAGAUGGGUCACGUAUCUCUGCUCACAAGGUGA
Molecule: long non-coding RNA, 214 nt
Filed under: Homo sapiens (human)
Lineage: Eukaryota; Metazoa; Chordata; Mammalia; Primates; Hominidae
Description: non-protein coding lnc-IRS1-2:11
Source: RNAcentral